This 65-nucleotide transfer RNA is filed under the name Tettigades sp. 2 PL2017. RNAcentral's name for it is "tRNA-Pro". Lineage: Eukaryota; Metazoa; Arthropoda; Insecta; Hemiptera; Cicadidae. The record is from RNAcentral.
CAGAAAAUAGUUUAAAUAAAAAUAUAAACUUUGGAAGUUUAAGAUGGAUAUAAUACUUUUUCUGA